UACGGAGGGUGCAAGCGUUAUCCGGAUUCACUGGGUUUAAAGGGUGCGUAGGUGGGCAGGUAAGUCAGUGGUGAAAUCUCCGAGCUUAACUCGGAAACUGCCGUUGAUACUAUUUGUCUUGAAUAUUGUGGAGGUAAGCGGAAUAUGUCAUGUAGCGGUGAAAUGCUUAGAUAUGACAUAGAACACCAAUUGCGAAGGCAGCUUACUACACAACGAUUGACGCUGAGGCACGAAGGCGUGGGGAUCAAACAGG
Molecule: ribosomal RNA, 253 nt
Filed under: uncultured bacterium
Lineage: Bacteria
Description: partial 16S ribosomal RNA
Rfam family: Bacterial small subunit ribosomal RNA
Source: RNAcentral